RNAcentral lists this ribosomal RNA (714 nucleotides) under Serratia marcescens. RNAcentral describes it as "bacterial SSU rRNA". It matches the Rfam family "Bacterial small subunit ribosomal RNA", at positions 577 to 1290 of the family's 1533-position model. Lineage: Bacteria; Pseudomonadati; Pseudomonadota; Gammaproteobacteria; Enterobacterales; Yersiniaceae. The record is from RNAcentral.
GGUUUGUUAAGUCAAGAUGUGGAAAUCCCCGGGCUCACCUGGGAACUGCAUUUGAAACUGGCAAGCUAGAGUCUCGUAGAGGGGGGUAGAAUUCCAGGUGUAGCGGUGAAAUGCGUAGAGAUCUGGAGGAAUACCGGUGGCGAAGGCGGCCCCCUGGACGAAGACUGACGCUCAGGUGCGAAAGCGUGGGGAGCAAACAGGAUUAGAUACCCUGGUAGUCCACGCUGUAAACGAUGUCGAUUUGGAGGUUGUGCCCUUGAGGCGUGGCUUCCGGAGCUAACGCGUUAAAUCGACCGCCUGGGGAGUACGGCCGCAAGGUUAAAACUCAAAUGAAUUGACGGGGGCCCGCACAAGCGGUGGAGCAUGUGGUUUAAUUCGAUGCAACGCGAAGAACCUUACCUACUCUUGACAUCCAGAGAACUUUCCAGAGAUGGAUUGGUGCCUUCGGGAACUCUGAGACAGGUGCUGCAUGGCUGUCGUCAGCUCGUGUUGUGAAAUGUUGGGUUAAGUCCCGCAACGAGCGCAACCCUUAUCCUUUGUUGCCAGCGGUUCGGCCGGGAACUCAAAGGAGACUGCCAGUGAUAAACUGGAGGAAGGUGGGGGAUGACGUCAAGUCAUCAUGGCCCUUACGAGUAGGGCUACACACGUGCUACAUGGCGUAUACAAAGAGAAGCGACCUCGCGAGAGCAAGCGGACCUCAUAAAGUAUGUCGUA